UUUCUUUCAGCUACUCAGAAAAAUCCAAUUACAAUUUUGGUUAGAGAGCAGGUUGGCUGGCUGGCUGUUGGAAGCCCACAGAAGACUCAGUUUCGGCACUCUCCGACCCUUUACGGUGUAGUGAUAUCGGAGCCUACAAAGAUGGCUAUAGAGUGCCCCCUCUUCGGUUCCUGAAUCGGCCACUGUGAAGGGACUGAUGACAUUGAGAGACAGAGAAGACAAGCCACAGCAGCACAGGAUUGAGGGAACAGGAACAGAUUCUCCAUGAAGCAGCACAAGCGGCAGAUGAGAAGGAACUGAAGAGGGAAGCACUCUACAGAUGGCUAUGUAGGCUCUGCUAUCACUACGCUUUAAAGGGCCAGAGAGUGCCUAAACAGAGCUAUAGAUUCUUCCGCAGGCCUCCUGUGCAGAAGACCCAGUUAUGAGGGACUAUGGAUCCCUACAGAGAUGAACAAGCUAUGGGCUGGAAAGAGCAACAGGGAAAAGAAAGAGCUAGCAAAGAGCCAGGAGGGGAGGAGGACAGAAGAAAAUACAGUGACAAUGUCAGAACUACCCGGGAAUAUGAAGCAGAACAUGAAGCAUGGACAAAAA
This is a long non-coding RNA of Hemicordylus capensis (graceful crag lizard), 591 nucleotides long. RefSeq lists it as uncharacterized. The record is from RefSeq and is a predicted model, not a curated record. The transcript has 3 exons. Lineage: Eukaryota; Metazoa; Chordata; Lepidosauria; Squamata; Cordylidae.